UCUCUCUCUCUCUCUCUCUCAGGGCUUGGCAGGAUGAAAUCAAUACUAUAAGGGUAGGGAUUCAACACAAAACGUCCAUAGAUUUAAGGGUUCAAUAACAAAAAAGCCAAAGUUCAAAAUUCAGACCUCCCUUAAGUUUAGAAAUACAGCUACCACCAGGUUUAAGCUAUUAAUUGCAUCUAACAACUCAGAUAGGCAAUAUCAGAAUGUAUUAGCCAGGGAGCCGGGAGGUUGAUUUUCAGUGAAAUAUUUUUGGAGUUAAAAUGAAGGAAAUCUCCUUUAACUCCAAAAUGAGUAUACAACACACUUAGAAAAUCACAUACUUCUUUAUGUAAUUAAUUUGCUAAUAACUUUACUUAAUAUUUGGUGAAUAAUUGAGUGGGGAAGGGACGUGGGGUUAAAGAUUUCAUGAGAAUGAAAGAAGAUUGAUUUACAGAUAUAGAGUUCAAUAUGUAGACACUCAC
Molecule: unclassified non-coding RNA, 464 nt
Filed under: Hevea brasiliensis (rubber tree)
Lineage: Eukaryota; Viridiplantae; Streptophyta; Magnoliopsida; Malpighiales; Euphorbiaceae
Source: RNAcentral